This 230-nucleotide non-coding RNA is filed under the name Enterococcus haemoperoxidus. RNAcentral's name for it is "T-box sequence". It matches the Rfam family "T-box leader". Rfam says of the family: Uncharged tRNA acts as the effector for transcription antitermination of genes in the T-box leader family. T-boxes are found upstream of many aminoacyl-tRNA synthetase genes and some amino acid biosynthetic genes usually in Gram-positive bacteria. The anticodon of a specific tRNA base pairs to a specifier sequence within the T-box motif, and the NCCA acceptor tail of the tRNA base pairs to a conserved bulge in the T-box antiterminator hairpin. Lineage: Bacteria; Bacillati; Bacillota; Bacilli; Lactobacillales; Enterococcaceae. The record is from RNAcentral.
UAAAAAACAAAGAACAGAAGAGUACCUUUAUUUUUUAUUGAAGAGAGUCUUUGGCUGGUGUAAAAAGACAAAAAGAUAAAGCGAACCACAUCUGGGAGUUAACUUUUUGAACAGAUUAGUAGGAAAGUUCGGGCAUGCCCGUUAUAGCAUUAGAAGUCUAUGACUUCAUGAGGUUAUCGUUGUGAAGCGAUAAUAAAAAAAGGUGGAACCACGAAUUUUACGUCCUUUGG